RNAcentral lists this ribosomal RNA (253 nucleotides) under uncultured bacterium. RNAcentral describes it as "partial 16S ribosomal RNA". It matches the Rfam family "Bacterial small subunit ribosomal RNA", at positions 524 to 776 of the family's 1533-position model. The record is from RNAcentral.
UACGGAAGGGGCAAGCGUUGUUCGGAAUCAUUGGGCGUAAAGGGCGCGUAGGUGGUUCUGUAUGUCUAUCGUGAAAGCAUACAGCUCAACUGUAUUUUGUCGGUAGAAACUGCAGGACUUGAGGCUGGGAGGGGCUGGUGGAAUUCCCUGUGUAGCGGUGAAAUGCGUAGAGAUGCGGAGGAACACCGAUGGCGAAGGCAGCCCCCUGGGCUAGCACUGACGCUCAGGCACGAAAGCUAGGGGAGCGAAUGGG